This 433-nucleotide ribosomal RNA is filed under the name uncultured bacterium. RNAcentral's name for it is "bacterial SSU rRNA". It matches the Rfam family "Bacterial small subunit ribosomal RNA", at positions 958 to 1392 of the family's 1533-position model. The record is from RNAcentral.
AACGCGAAGAACCUUACCAGGUCUUGACAUCCUCUGACACUCCUAGAGAUAGGACGUUCCCUUCGGGGACAGAGUGACAGGUGGUGCAUGGUUGUCGUCAGCUCGUGUCGUGAGAUGUUGGGUUAAGUCCCGCAACGAGCGCAACCCUUGAUCUUAGUUGCCAGCAUUUAGUUGGGCACUCUAAGGUGACUGCCGGUGACAAACCGGAGGAAGGUGGGGAUGACGUCAAAUCAUCAUGCCCCUUAUGACCUGGGCUACACACGUGCUACAAUGGAUGGUACAAAGGGCAGCGAAGCCGCGAGGUGGAGCUAAUCCCAUAAAACCAUUCUCAGUUCGGAUUGUAGGCUGCAACUCGCCUACAUGAAGCUGGAAUCGCUAGUAAUCGCGGAUCAGCAUGCCGCGGUGAAUACGUUCCCGGGUCUUGUACACACCG